GACGAACGCUGGCGGCGUGCUUAACACAUGCAAGUCGAACGGAAAGGCCCUGCUUUUGUGGGGUGCUCGAGUGGCGAACGGGUGAGUAACACGUGAGUAACCUGCCCUUGACUUUGGGAUAACUUCAGGAAACUGGGGCUAAUACCGGAUAGGAGCUCCUGCUGCAUGGUGGGGGUUGGAAAGUUUCGGCGGUUGGGGAUGGACUCGCGGCUUAUCAGCUUGUGGGUGGGGUAGUGGCUUACCAAGGCUUUGACGGGUAGCCGGCCUGAGAGGGUGAACGGCCACAAUGGGACUGCGAGACGGCCCAGACUCCUACGUGAGGCAGCAGUGGGGAAUAUUGCACAAUGGGCGGAAGCCUGAUGCAGCAACGCCGCGGUCGUGAUGACGGCCUUCGGGUUGUAAACCGCUUUCGCCUGUGACGAAGCGUGAGUGACGGUAAUGGGUAAAGAAGCACCGGCUAACUACGUG
RNAcentral lists this ribosomal RNA (468 nucleotides) under uncultured bacterium. Its description in RNAcentral is "partial 16S ribosomal RNA". It matches the Rfam family "Bacterial small subunit ribosomal RNA", at positions 28 to 507 of the family's 1533-position model. The record is from RNAcentral.